GGGCCCGUGGAGGUAAUGGAAACCUCGCUCGGUUUACCACCCAGAGUUGCGGGUUCAAUUCCCGCCGGGUCCA
Molecule: transfer RNA, 73 nt
Filed under: Candidatus Uhrbacteria bacterium
Lineage: Bacteria; Candidatus Uhriibacteriota
Description: tRNA-OTHER
Rfam family: tRNA
About the family: Transfer RNA (tRNA) molecules are approximately 80 nucleotides in length. Their secondary structure includes four short double-helical elements and three loops (D, anti-codon, and T loops). Further hydrogen bonds mediate the characteristic L-shaped molecular structure. tRNAs have two regions of fundamental functional importance: the anti-codon, which is responsible for specific mRNA codon recognition, and the 3' end, to which the tRNAs corresponding amino acid is attached (by aminoacyl-tRNA synthetases). tRNAs cope with the degeneracy of the genetic code in two manners: having more than one tRNA (with a specific anti-codon) for a particular amino acid; and 'wobble' base-pairing, i.e. permitting non-standard base-pairing at the 3rd anti-codon position.
Source: RNAcentral